Long non-coding RNA from Oncorhynchus tshawytscha (Chinook salmon), 4437 nucleotides. NCBI's taxonomy places the organism in Eukaryota, Metazoa, Chordata, Actinopteri, Salmoniformes, Salmonidae. The record is from Ensembl.
GGAGAAAUAACACUGGGUUACUCAAAUGAGAGACUGGAAACAUAACAUUCAAUUAAAUAACUUUAUUGAAACAAAUUAAUGAAUAAGUUAGUCAAAUUAGUUCUCAACAAGUAGUAAGCUUUUUAUCGUUUCACUUUUAGAAACCAAAUCAGGUGUGAAUUAGUAAAUAAAAACUCUAAAAAUCAUCAUUAUUCCAUUGGUAACUUCAUCAAUCAUUGAAAUUGCAUGGAAGACAUUUUGUUAGCAUUAUUUUAUUGCUUCGACGUUGUGUUAAUGUCCUUAUAACAAUGUUUCCUUUCAUUAGAGGGAUUUAAAGAAGUGAGGGAGGAUGGAUGGAAUGUUGUAAUGGCAGCAAGUCAGAGGGCCCGUCCCAAAUGGCAUCCUAUUCCCUAUAUAGUGCACUACUUUUGAGCAGGGCCCAUCAGGCUCUGGGUCAACAGUAGUGCACCACAAGGAAUAGGGUGCCAUUUGGGAUGAAGGCAGAGUGAGUGGUGUGAUGGAAUCGGUAAAGGUACAGAAAGAGAAGUACAUGCAGGAGAAGACUUGAGAUUGGAUCAUGCAUAGCAUUCGUGUCGAUUAGAAUAUCAGAGAUGUGCGGAUCUCAGUUCCUAUAGAUGCUAACGCCCCGUUAGAGGUGGCCAGGGCUCUGAGGUAGUUGUGUGGAAGCCAUAUGAUCUACGUGACCAUGCGUAUGAAGGGACAGUAAUGUCACUGUGUGACGCUCAAGGUCAUGCCUCCUGUCACAGUUUAAAAUUGGACAGAAUUUAAAUACAUAAGAGUUGCAAUGGUUACAUUUUAAAAAAUGUGCAAUUGACACGUUCAUCCCAGUCUUGUGGGACAAAUAACAUGUUGCUGUGUAAUAAAGGGACUGAGAUCACAAAGGAAAAUAUACAUUCCCUCAAACCAGUAGUUAUAUUUGUGUGAUGUAAUAUGUAGCACAUGGUUCUGUAAUCUAGCCACUCAACACCAUUGGCAGGAAGACCCAGAGGACCCCAUUCAUGUCACUCAGAGAAGAAAAUAUAAAGAUAUUCAACUCCAGAGACUAACACAUUUCAUGCGACACAACGGUUUAAUAUAGAUUCAUGUGUACUGUGUUGCUCAGAAUGAACAAUGAAUUGGUUGGACUUUCAAUCUGAUGUCAUUUGGGUUGUAGUUUAGGACAAUAAGAAAAAUCUAUUUACCAUCCAACAAUACAGUGCCUUAAUGAACGUGUUGUUGCCAACGUACUGUAACAAAAGCACCUGAUUGUGCCAUUGAGUUAAAACUCCCAAGAGUAAAAUGUUUCUCAGAAUCUCCAGUCGCUUUGAAUGGAACAUUUAUGCACCUGAAUCAACUAACUGCUGGCUUGAUUGAACCAAAUUAACUUGUCCAAGCCUCUCAUGGGGCCAUAGACUUUCUUGCACUGGCUGAAAACAGAACUGUGAUUCUGAGAAAAAUAAAAUGUCCUCCAUUGUUAGGGCAGGAUGCAAUUAUGGAUAACGACAGUCAAAUCAAUAGUUGAGCUCUGGGAAUUGUUGUAUAACGUGUGUGUGUGUGUGAGUGAGUGAGUGAGUGAGUGAGUGAGUGAGUGAGAGAGAGAGAGAGAGAGAGAGAGAGAGAGAGAGAGAGAGAGAGAGAGAGAGAGCGAGAGAGAGAGACAUUCUCUAACUGGGAACAGUCACAUGUGUCUUUGAUUAGACAAAAAUGCUACAUUUAUUUGAAGAUUUUAAAGAUAUCAUAUCACAAACAAUGGGACACAAAUAGUGACUGAAAUCUUACAUUCACUUUAAACAAUCAAAAGCAUUAAAAAAACACAAUCAUAGAAAUGUGACAUGUUCUUCUAGCUCUCAGAGGAGAAACAGUGGAGGUAUGAACAAAUAAGAUAAAAAAAUCAACACAACUUGAAACAAAUGGCAGACAAAAAACAUCGAAAUAGGACACCUUUUCUGAUUAGGUUUAUUUCUGGAUCCUCUUCAGGUGCCAUAGUGUCCACUACAGUGUUCUCCAGUUCUGUCCAUUAGAAACACAUUCCAUACAGUAUCUCUAUGAGCGAACCAUUGUUUAGGGUCAGUAAACCAUAAACAUAUGGCUAAAGUGGACAAGCUAUUCUAGAUAACGCAAGAGGGGCUUCUGCAUUGAAUUCUGUCAGGGUAAGAGGGGAAUUCUGUCAGGGUUAGAGGUGAAAUCUGUCAGGGUUAGAGGUGAAUUCUGCCAGGGUAAGAGGUGAAAUCUGUCAGGGUUAGAGGUGAAAUCUGUCAGGGUUAGUGGUGAAAUCUGUCAGGGUUAGAGGUGAAUUCUGUCAGGGUUAGAGGUGAAUUCUACCAGGGUUAGAGGUGAAUUCUGCCAGGGUAAGAGGUGAAUUCUGCCAGGGUUAGAGGUGAAAUCUGUCAGGGUUAGUGGUGAAAUCUGUCAGGGUUAGAGGUGAAUUCUGCCAGGGUUAGAGGUGAAUUAAGCCAGGGUUAGUGGUGAAUUAAGCCAGGGUUAGUGGUGAAAUCUGUCAGGGUUAGAGGUGAAUUCUGCCAGGGUUAGAGGUGAAUUCUGACAGGGUUAGAGGUGAAUUCUGUCAGGGAUAGAGGUGAAAUCUGUCAGGGUUAGAGGUGAAUUCUGCCAGGGUUAGAGGUGAAUUCUGCCAGGGUUAGAGGUGAAAUCUGCCAGGGUUAGAGGUGAAUUCUGCCAGGGUUAGAGGUGAAUUCUGCCAGGGUUAGAGGUGAAUUCUGUCAGGGUUAGAGGCAGUAAAGGAGUCAUUAUAAGACCGAACUGUUGGCUAAGAUGCAUGCAUAUAUAAGCGAGGCUACAGUACCAGAGAUCAUGCUUCUGACAUGGAUGGAUGCCUCCCAGGCAUUAUCUUAUCAGCCACCACCUGACCGUGCCAUUAAGCAUUCACAUGACUGGCUAUAGAACAACAACAGUAGAAGUUGAGAAGGUGCCUGUGUCGGGGUGAACCAACUAGAAAAUAGUUCUCUCUUUAUCUCCAAUGAGAGAAACUAAGGCUCUGGUCCAACAUCCAGACUAGCACACUGCUUUGAAGCUAUUAUAGUUGGUGUAUGCCUUAGCACGCUAGUGUCGAUGUUUGGAACAUAGCUGAUGUAGUUGAUUGGUUUGGAAUACACCUCAUCAUAGACAUGAGCUGAAUGGCCCACCUAAACCACCUAGCCCACACAGGAGUGAGAUACUGCGCAACAAAGACUGAUGAGUAUUGAUACAGAGAGAGGGACACAACCCUCUAAAAUCUGACCAGGGAUCAGUGUUGUCUUACCCUUUGGUCUGGUCUGAGGAGCAUGCAUGCCUGAGGGGUGGGCUUCAAGGGAGAGGUUUUUAAAGGGAUCAACAGGUAGAAAACAUACAAUAUCCCUGUUAACCUGACCCUGUGUGAAGAAGUGUAUAAAGUAUCUUGCGAAUGCCAUGAGGGAAUGCUAGAGAGAGAGAACGAGAGAGUGCCCAUUCCAGAACUCAGAUUGUGAAAAUAAAGAGCCUUCCUUCUUGUCAGUCUGUUUCUCCCUAUCAUACAAGACCAUAUUGACUUUAUUAAAGAAAGAGUGACUUCCUUUUCUUUCUUGUAAAGUGGGCUUAUUGCAGAGAGAAUCAUGAAUCAGGGGAAUGUGGUAGAGUGGCAUGGAUGUACUUCAAUGAAGGAUGAAAUAAGUGUCACAUACAUGUGAAGCCUGAGUUCUUCUCUUGUCGUAACCUAGUCAGUCACUUUCUUUUCAGGAGAACAUACUGUGAAUGAAAACGAGGGAAGAACGAGUACCAUGUAACAACCUGGACAAGAGGGCAAAGUGAGAGAGCUGAUGUUUUGGUGAAACGUUUGUAGGUUUUUCCAUCCAUGUCAAGUCAUCCAUUUUGGGAUCUGGGUAGCCCCACAGGAGUAGAGGUGGACAUGAAGUCUUUGCAGUGCCUCGGAAAGAGGGUUGAGUUGAGCUGUGGUCAGUAUGGUGGGGACGUGAGGUGAGGAGGGGACAGCAAAGACCCCGGGCACACAGUACAUUCAUCAGAAGCUCAGAGACAGUCUCCCAUAGCAUCAGAUGAGAGCCUGACAAACAAGAACUGAAAUUACCCUGAAACAAAAGUCCUGAAUGUUGGAGAGCUGCAGCAGUUCUUCACUCAUUCAUCUGGAAGUUUACUGAUUACAAACAAAUAAACAAAUAAAGCAGGAGAAUAAAUAAAUAUUACUGAUACCAGAACACAGAAUCUGGUAAAAAAUGUACAAAAAACCCAACUUUGUUAAAAGUUCAUAUCUAUACUUGCAGGUUUAGGAACAUGCAUAGAUAGAUACAAUAUGUUUAACGUUGUUGUUGAGUGAAACUGGUUUGGUUUUGUUGUCAAGUAGUAGUCAUACGCUCUCAUUUCUUCUUCUUUUACCACGGAGGAACUGAGACAGAGAGGAACUGAGACAGAGAGGAACUGAGACAGAGAGGAACUGAGACAGAGAGGAACUGAGACAGAGAGGAACUGAGACAG